CUUGCACGUUUCCAAAAGAUUCAGUCAGAGAAUCUUUGCCUUGGACGGAUACUCCAUAGGAGAAAACAGGAGAAAGUUGACACUUAACUCCCACAGAGUACCAGCAUAAAGACAAUGGCUUUAAGAGUCUGACUCAGAGUUUCAACAUGAAAGGUUUGCUUUAUAGAGGAAACGCCAAUCCCAGUCCAUCCAGAUAGACCUGGAACCUGAUGAAAGUCGACACCUUUAUUCUGAAAUUUGCAUCACAUCGCUGGCUCCAGUUUAGAAACAUGAUCGUUUCACAGGUAGUAUGCAUUUCAGCGAAUGCUGCCUCUAAACUACCCGUCAGGAAAAAUAAAAUCUAUAAGGUAAUCGUAGUCUAGGAGCCAUCAAUCCCCAAAUGCUUCUCUUAGAAAACGAAUGCCAACAAUUUAGCUAAACAUCUUCCUUGGAAGUGAGCCAUUUCCCAUGUCUCUCUGUUCUCCAAACCGCGAUGAAAUUUCAACCUGCCCAACACGAUUACUGGUCCACCUAGAAAUGCCGUGGAGCGAUUUAAGAGCCUCGGAAAUUUCCUUUAAGGGCAUUCAAGCAGCCCUGAGGAGAGGUCCACAUGGUGAGCCACUGAGGGCCUUGCCAAGAGCCAGCACCAACGGUCCAGGUUUGGAGUGUACCACCUUGGAAGUGAAUCUUCCAGUCCAGUCAAGCCUUCAGAUGACUUCAGAACCGUCCAUGUAAGCCACUCUUGGAUUCCUGACCCACAGAAACUGUUGGAGGCAUUAUCAACAGUUUCUAACAUCACAGACAGACAAACAUGUGCCUCCUGAUUGAAAAAACAGAACAUCACCUGUAGUCUUGCCAGUGAGAUCAAACUGAAGUCCAAUUAACCUCUGGAUCCAGCUGCCAAUUUGCAGGAAAUAGAGGAGAGAAGCAUCUGUUGAACUGCACCAUGAGUAUACACUCAGCAAAGGCCAAACUGUGGAAAAUGAUACAGGUCAAACAGCCUGGAUUCUUUAACAGUAAGUGAUGUUUCUGAAGCACCAAUGAAAAUGAAGUCCUGAAGUCCUGUGCUCAAUAUGAAAUGUUGGAAGUUAGAAGAAAAAAACAAAACUUGGAUCCAAUCUCAAGGCACUUUUUGUUUAAUGGGAAGAAGUGGAUUAUUUUAAAAGCUACAAAUAAAGUUACAUAAAAGUAGCAAAGUUGAUA
Molecule: long non-coding RNA, 1182 nt
Filed under: Homo sapiens (human)
Lineage: Eukaryota; Metazoa; Chordata; Mammalia; Primates; Hominidae
Description: HSALNT0377835
Source: RNAcentral